This 6571-nucleotide long non-coding RNA is filed under the name Lactuca sativa (garden lettuce). Its description in RNAcentral is "long non-coding RNA (LSAT_LNC007921)". The record is from RNAcentral. Lineage: Eukaryota; Viridiplantae; Streptophyta; Magnoliopsida; Asterales; Asteraceae.
GCUCGGGGAGCUAGUGGAGCAGCAGUUCGGAGUCAGUGGUCGGGUAGCGGUCAAAGGGAUUAGCAGCAACAGUUCAGCAGUAUCAGGUGAGUUUCCCUUUGUAUGAAUGGGUCUACGGCCACAAUGCCGGCCCAUGUAGUUAUGAGUAGAAGACCCGGGGGUUAGCCCUAGGCACAGUAUGCUAGUAUGGUAUUCGGACGAGGUCCAAUGAUAGAGGGCGGGUGCCCAAGGAGUGGUUUAUGUGAUAGUUUAUACUUGUUGUCUGUGUGAUACAUGUACGUGCCUGGUAGGAAGGUGAGUGGGGGGCGAGGUCCCGUAUCUCACCAAUAGCAGAGUGUGGAUGGUGUUCCACAUCUCAGUAGCAGCAGUACAGGGGCGAGGCCCAAGCUAGGAAAAGAGUGAGGACGGGCGGGGCCCGUAUCUCACUAUCAGCAGGAGUAUGGACGAGGUUCCAUGACUCAUCAGUAGCAGGACACGGGCGGGGCCCGGAGAUAGGCGAGGCCUUGGAGCAAGAGUUGUUAGUAUAUGUUUAGCUUAUGUGUUGUUAUGUGAUAUAUGUAUGUGCUAGUAUAUGUUAGUGGGCGGGGCCCUGUGACAGGCAAGGCCUAAGUGAAACAGAUCUGUAUCCGAGCGGGGCUUGAAGCCAGGCGGGGCCUGGAGCCGCGGGGCCGUUGUAGCGGGCGAGGCCCGAAGUAGGGGGCGAGGCCUCAGAUAGCGGGCAUGGCCCAGUAUGUGCAGUAUGUGGUCAUGCAUGGUAUGUGGUAGGGUUGGGAACUCACUAAGUUUCGUGCUUANGUUUUCAGUUUUGUUUUCAGGUACUUCCGGUAGCGGAGGGAGGAGCUCGGGGUGAUCGCAUGGCACACACCAUAGAGUAGUCAGCCUGGGAAUGUUUACUCUGAUAAUAAACAUGUGUUUUGAAAACUUAUACUCAAAUUAUGUUUUGGAAUGAUGACUUUGUUUGAAGUAAUGUUUUAUUAAAAGAAAUUUUUGGUCUCGAAUUUUGGGUCGUUACAAGUUGGUAUCAGAGCCUUGGUUUGAGGGAUUCGAGCAUACUCUCGGGUGUGGCUGAACUCAAACUGAGGGGUUGGAUAAAAAGUUUUCAAAAGCGAAAAGACAGUUUUCUAAAAAGAAUUUUGAGAACAAAAAGCAGUUUUAGAAAAACAAAAAGAAUCCAGAAAAAGAAGAAUUUUGAAAAGAGAAAAAGGGGUGUGGUGCAUGCAAUCAACCGAGCUCAAGUAAGUACCCCAAAAUACCCAUACAAGUUUAUAUUAUGAUUAUCAGUUGGUAGAACAGCAUGCUAGAAUAGGACUAAGGAUCUAGGGAUGAUGCCUUAUGUGCCUGUUAUUUGUGCUUUUGAGCUGCAUAGUAGUGCUAAGUAGACAGUAGUAGGAUAGCCUGUUUAGGUUAUACCUGAGAUAUGAGUUUGUGUUUCAUGCUAGUUCAGAUUCUUGCUAUGUGGAUAUGAUUUCUUGAGUAUGUUAUGGUUAGAUUUUCCUUUGUUCGAAUGCUGCUUGCUUUGUGUAUUGUGGGAUUCUGAGUGAUGGGAGUUAGCCAUUAGGUGGAUACGACAAGUCACAUGCGAUCAGGGUUGAAUAAUCUCAGAGUGCUGGAUUUGGUCCUAUUACGCAGCUCUCGUCUGAGUCCAACCGUUGUAGCGACGAGUCUUUUACUUGAAGGAUUAUCUGAGCCUCGUUGCAUGUGAUGGUAUCCAGGUGAUGGCUAAUUGGCAUCAUAAGGAGACCUUCAGUAGGUUUGUGUUGAGUUAGAGGUUUCCCUAGGGUAAGCCUAGGAUGAGAUAGUGCUGGGAGCAGUAGUAGUGGUUAAGGGGUCUGGUGGAGUCAAAGCAAUUCCUGAGGAAAGUACGGAUAGAUAUGGAAGGUAGUAUGGGCCCGUACUACUGAAAGCAAAGGAUCCGUACUCGAUUCGGGAAGGGCCGAGACAAGACCAGGAACCUGGUAGGGUAUGUUUGGUCUCACAUCAGUGAUGAGUAUUCUAAUAGUGGUUGUGGUAUAUUUUCAGCAUGGUGACAUUGCGAGAGAGACCAGCGGGCGGGUCAGGCGCCGGAGAGGGAUCAGGCUCGGGUUUAGGGACCGAGCAGCUCGAGGAGCAGAUGAGAGAGUUGAUAUCAGCUGAGGUUACGCGCAGUAUUCUAGCUCAGACUCCUGUGAUCUUUGGCACGGUCAAGGAGGGUAUACUGGAGAUCUUGGAUGAGAGGCUGGGAGCCUUCCGUACUGAGAUGAUGGCAUUGAUGGGAGCGCGUACUCUGACAUUUCGAGAGUUCAGAGCCUGCGGGGCACCAGAUUAUCAUGGGGCUAGGGACCCCAUUGCUAGCAGCAGAUGGUUGGCUGAUGUUGCCAACGCUUUUCGUACGAGCAAGUGUCCCGAGGGGGACAAGGUUAGACUCGCCUCCUGUCUUCUGAAGGACAGAGCGAGGGAUUGGUGGGAGGAGAUUGGUCAUGCUUUGGGGGAUGAUGCCGCGUUGGACGCGAUGACUUGGAGCGAUUUCUCGGCCAGGUUCAGGGCGGAGUUUUCGCCGAUUAUUGAGGUGCAGCAGCUGGCACGAGAGUUUCAGGAUUUGACGCAGACUACUGAGACUGUGGCGGAGAUCACCGCCAAGUUCAGGGAGAGGGCUCUUCUUGUACCGCAGUAUGUAGCGGAUGAGGAGAUGAAGAAGGCUCGGUACCAUGAGAUGUUGAGGGACGACAUCAGGGAGUUCGUGAGCAGGUCCAGCUGUAAGACGCUGGAAGAUAUGAUUUCUCGGGCUAGGGAAAGGGAAAUUGAUUUGGAGCAGAUCCGGAAGAGGAAGCCGGAUGAGGUUCAGGUAUCAGCGGGUUCGNAUUGAUUUGGAGCAAAUCCGGAAGAGGAAGCCGGAUGAGGUUCAGGUAGCUGUGGGUUCGGGCAAAAGGCCCAAGGGAUCGGAUUCGAGAUCGAGGGAUCAUCAGGACCGCAAUCGGUGCGGAAAGUGUGGCAGGGCGCACGGGGGCGCGUGCAGGAGUGGUAGCCGUGGUGAGUCUGGUUGCUUCAAGUGCGGUCGGACUGGUCAUUUCAGCAGGGAUUGCACUGUUACUGCCGCGCAGGAAUCAGACUUGAUAUGUUUUCAUUGCAACCAGCGGGGCCACAAGAAGGCCCAGUGCCCCAGUUUGUCUUCGGCAGGACGGGUGAUGGCACCCGCCCUUGCAAAUUUGAGGAUCACAGAUGGCCGUCAGGGCCGGGUAGAGGCACAUGCAGCAGGGAGCAGGGCUUUUCAGAUGACGACCUUGGAGACGCUAGCGACGCCGGACGUUGCAGGGAUGCAAUUUCCAUUUCCAGUUCUUUUAUUUGUGCAUGAUUAUGUUGUUAUGAUUCUGCAUCAUCAUCGGUAUGAGUAUUUUAUUUAUGUGCGGUUGAUUAUGGUCGAGUUAUAUGCCAUCUGCAUACCUUGGAUAAUUGUAUGGUAGUUAGGGGAUGUGCUCUAUUGGAGAAGGUUACGUAGGAUGCAGUAGCUGUAGCAUGCUUGGGAGGGACUUAGUAUGUCUCGUUAGAUCAGGAUCGUGUAGUGUCAGAGAUGGAUUGGUUAGAUCCCUAGCUAUGGUAAGCUUGGGUUCCUCAGCAGAUUGAUUAUGGAAUGGUAGCAAGGAUUGGGUUUUCUCUUUGAGCAUUGAGCAACAAGGGGUAAGCAGGAUCGAAGUGGGGGAGAAUCCUCCGAGUAAGCCAGGGUAGGAGCACGCAGACCCAGAAGGAGUGCGCAACCUCCGAGGAGGAAAGGAAGUAGUUCAGCGUUCGAUGGAUUGAGGAUUUCAGGGUUGGGAGUUUGAGAAACUCCCCAUCAGCUAGAGCGUGUGUCGGUAAUGGUUAGUUCGUGGUUGGGAAUUCAGGUUGUUGAUCGCCCGUAUGACUCGAGGGAGUCAGAAUGAGGAUCUUGAGAGCUAAUGGCACAUGGGUGCCUUCGUAUUAGCAGUCAGUGGUGGAAGUGUUGUAAGACUACGGGGCAGCCGUAGCAUUCACUAGCAGUCAACAAUGGAUGGUGAUGUAAGGCUAUGGGUAAGUCGUAGCAUUCCCUAGUCGCUUCGUUAGCGGAGUUGGGGCGAGGCCCUUAUUUUCUCGUGAUCAGAUAGGGAUCGGGAUGGGUAGUCGUUGAGAAUGAUAGGGAGUUGCCUGUAUAGCCCUAGCAAGGUGAGACCUUGGGAGAGGCUGCUCCUGGAUAUAGUUGGGUGAGACCCGUGGGCGAGGCCCGUACGAGAUUAGCAGUGUAGAUAAGACCUGAGAGCAGGGUUGCUCAGUAGUAUGGUUGGGUGGUACCCGUGGGCGAGGCCCAUGGGUUUUUAGCAGCGCAGGUGGGACCUGGUAGGGACCUUAGUGUCAAGUUAGGGGAUCGGGGAUCCCAGGUUUGUAGUGCCUGAGUGGUGGAAUUGUUUGAGCAGUUAUAGGUAGUUGAGGUUUCUUUGGAAGUCGCUGAGAGCGACUUGUGUUGAUGUUGGGACCAGCUACCGGUGGGAGCCGGUAAUCCAGAUAUUGAUAGGUUGGUAGGGACCAGAGUGGUCUCAGUUCAACCGGAAGGCAGAUGAGGAAUGGCAGAAGUAUCCAGUCAGUAGUAGUGCGGGAAGGCGGGUUAUGUUGGAAUUCAGUUAGAUGAGUCGAGGGGUGCUCGACACCAAGUUAUGACAAGAGAGGAGUGUCAGUGGUUACUGGCGGUAAUGACCCGUACUGGAUUUAGCGGGAAUAAGGGAUUGGUGAAGAUAGGAUCUUCACAGUGGCUGAGGAGAUAGUUGUUUUUGGAGCAUCGCCUUGGGAAGGCAAGGGAAUGGCGUGAGGAAAGAAGGGGUGAACCCCUAUAGGUUCAGUGCAGUACUCGGUGAGUACCCGUCGGAUUAUCGGCUAAGUAAGUUGUGUUUCCAGAAUGUUCAGGGUCAGGGUUGACCCGAGAUGGUUAUUUGCAAGGGUUAAUGCUAGUCUGAAUGAUCAGGAGGAAGACCAUCGAAGGUAGGCAGCUGGUGUUGGAACAAUUCGUGGGGUAUUGGAGGCAGAUAGCAGGCGGUGAGAUGGUAAACUUCGAGGACGAAGUUUAGUUUAAGUGGGGGAGAGUUGUAACACCCAGGAUUUUGAAAGCCAAGAAAGUAAAGGAAACCCUAAAUUUAAGAGGGACUCGACGAGUCAAAGGAAGGACUCGGCGAGUCGGAGCGGGAUCCGGGUCGAUAAGAAAGUGACCAACUCGACGAGUCGGCCAAGUGGACUCGGCGAGUCUGGUCUGUGCGAGGAAAACCCUAAAUCCGGGGCUUGGAGCCUAUUUAAGCAUCUUAAUCUUCUUCCUAGGGCUCCUUUACAGCCUCUUGCACCCAGAACGCCGCACCUUAAGCCCCCAUUGUGUUCAUUCAAGCUUCUAGCCAUUUUUGAGUGGGUUUAAGGAAGAAGAAGGAGUGGGAAUCCUUGAAGCAUCAGGGAGUGGCUUUGGAUCUGAAGUUUGGGAAGCAUUUCAGAGCAUUGGAAGGUAUCAAUUCGUUUCUCUCCUCCAUAUUUUUCCUUGGUUAUGAGUUUUGGGGCUUUUAAGCCAUGUUUAAGACCAAUCUUGAGCUUGAGGUCCAGAUCUGAGGUUGCUACCUCAGAUCCAUGUUUAUUUUGGUUUGUAAUCCCAGAAAGUAUCAGCCAUUGGGUGGAAAUUGGAGUCUCUUGGUCCUAAACCCUAGCUAUGGGUGUAUUUUGCCUAGAUCUCCCUCUCUACACGUAAAGUUUGCAACUUUACGUGGGAAAUAGGCUUGGGGAGGGUAGAUCUACAGUUUGGAGCUCAUGCAUGACUCGGAAGUCCUCUGCAUGUAAGUGGAUCUUAGUGGACUCGACGAGUCCUUCGAGUGGACUCGGCGAGUAGCUUGAAGAUGAGGAGGAACUCGACGAGUGGGAUGAACAGCUCGUCGAGUCGGAUGAAGAUGGGCAUGAACUCGGCGAGUUGGAUGAACAACUCGUCGAGUUGGAUGAAGUUUGUCGUGUGCUCGGCGAGUCUGUUCUUAGACUCGGCGAGUCAGGUCGCGUAGUCCCAAACCCUUCGAGUUAAGACUCGAGUCAGCGAGUCGAGCAAGGACUCAGUGAGUUGGUCAGGACAGGAUUCAAGAAUCUGUAGACUCGACAAGUCAGGGGCUGACUCGGCGAGUCAAGUUGCGAUUGGAAGGACUUGAGCAUAAGAACUCGGCGAGUCAGUGAGUGGACUCGGCGAGUAGGGUUGACCUGGAAGGUUGACUUUGACCAGAGUUGACUUGGUUAACCUUUGGAGGUCAGUUAGACUAAGUGUUGGGUUGUUGUUGGUAGCUCGGGGAGCUAGCGGAGCAGCAGUUCGGAGUUAGCGGUCAGGUAGCGGUCAAAGGGGUUAGCAGCGGCAGUUCGGCAAUAUCAGGUGAGUUUCCCUUUGUAUGAAUGGGUCUACGGCCACAAUGCCGGCCCAUGUAGUUAUGAGUAGAAGACCCGGGGGUUAGCCCUAGGCACAGUAUGCUAGUAUGAUAUUUGGACGAGGUCCAAUGACAGAGGGCGGGUGCCCAAGGAGCGGUUUAUGUGAUAGUUUAUACUUGUUGUCUGUGUGAUACUUGUAUGUGCCUGGUAGGGAGGUGAG